GACAGAGGGUGCAAACGUUGUUCGGAAUUACUGGGCGUAAAGCGCGUGUAGGCGGCUCUGUAAGUCGGGUGUGAAAUCCCACGGCUCAACCGUGGAAGUGCACUCGAAACUACAGGGCUAGAGUCCUGGAGAGGAAGGUGGAAUGCUUGGUGUAGAGGUGAAAUUCGUAGAUAUCAAGAGGAACACCGGUGGCGAAGGCGGCGUCCUGGACCAACACUGACACUGAGGAGCGAAAGCCAGGGGAGCAAACGGG
RNAcentral lists this ribosomal RNA (253 nucleotides) under uncultured bacterium. Its description in RNAcentral is "partial 16S ribosomal RNA". It matches the Rfam family "Bacterial small subunit ribosomal RNA", at positions 524 to 776 of the family's 1533-position model. The record is from RNAcentral.